Vicia faba (fava bean) is the source of this 210-nucleotide non-coding RNA. NCBI's taxonomy places the organism in Eukaryota, Viridiplantae, Streptophyta, Magnoliopsida, Fabales, Fabaceae. The record is from the annotation of a GenBank genome assembly.
AUGGAGGGUUGCAUCACGGAGAGCGGCACAAAUCUGAGAUUGGAGGGUUGUGGUUGGUCUAUUAUGCAUCGUAGCGGAGUGACCGGUGUGAUGGCUGUUUUCAGCGUGAGAAAUAUGGCGAGAACAUGUCGUAGACGUUGGCUUCUUGCGGUGCUUGAUAAAACUCCUCAACCAACCUUGCUUAUUUGGCUCAACUCUGUAAUUGUUUAA